UGGGUCCAACCUCCCACCCGUGUUUAUUUUACCUUGUUGCUUCGGCGGGCCCGCCUUAACUGGCCGCCGGGGGGCUCACGCCCCCGGGCCCGCGCCCGCCGAAGACACCCUCGAACUCUGUCUGAAGAUUGUAGUCUGAGUGAAAAUAUAAAUUAUUUAAAACUUUCAACAACGGAUCUCUUGGUUCCGGCAUCGAUGAAGAACGCAGCGAAAUGCGAUACGUAAUGUGAAUUGCAAAUUCAGUGAAUCAUCGAGUCUUUGAACGCACAUUGCGCCCCCUGGUAUUCCGGGGGGCAUGCCUGUCCGAGCGUCAUUGCUGCCCUCAAGCACGGCUUGUGUGUUGGGCCCCGUCCUCCGAUCCCGGGGGACGGGCCCGAAAGGCAGCGGCGGCACCGCGUCCGGUCCUCGAGCGUAUGGGGCUUUGUCACCCGCUCUGUAGGCCCGGCCGGCGCUUGCCGAUCAUCCCAAAUUUUUAUCCAGGUUGACCUCGGAUCAGGUAGGGAUACCCGCUGAACUUAAGCAUAUCAAUAAAAGAAAAGCAAAAAAGAG
This 549-nucleotide ribosomal RNA is filed under the name Penicillium chrysogenum. RNAcentral describes it as "eukaryotic LSU rRNA". The stretch from base 161 to 313 matches the Rfam family "5.8S ribosomal RNA". Lineage: Eukaryota; Fungi; Ascomycota; Eurotiomycetes; Eurotiales; Aspergillaceae. The record is from RNAcentral.